AGCGUUAGCGUAAGCGGGCGUGGACUGCAUAGAAGUGAGAAUGUCGGCUUGAGUAGCGAAAACAUGGGUGAGAAUCCCAUGCCCCGAAACCCUAAGGGUUCCUCCGGCAGGCUCGUCCGCGGAGGGUUAGUCUGGUCCUAAGGUCAGGCCGAAAGGCGUAGUCGAUGGAUAACAGGUCAACAUUCCUGUACCAGUUAUGUUUUGGGAAGGGGGACGGAGAAGGCUAGCCAAUCCAGAUGUUGGUUACUGGUUCAAGCGUUCGAGGCUUUGAGGAACGGAGAAAACGUUCUGAGCUAAGGCGUGAGUACGAGCUGCUACGGCAGCGAAGUUGGUGACGUCAUGCUUCCAAGAAAAUCCCUAUACCCGUUAAGGCAUAACUGCCAGUACCCGAAACCGACACAGGUGGGGUGGUAGAGAAUACCGAGGGGCGCGAGAUAACUCUCUCUAAGGAACUCGGCAAAAUGGUCCCGUAACUUCGGGAGAAGGGAUGCCAGCGCAAGCUGGUCGCAGUGAAGAGGCCCAGGCGACUGUUUACCAAAAACACAGGUCUCCGCUAAGUCGCAAGACGAUGUAUGGGGGCUGACACCUGCCCAGUGCCGGAAGGUUAAGGAAGCUGGUUAGCGUAAGCGAAGCUGGUGACUGAAGCCCCGGUGAACGGCGGCCGUAACUAUAACGGUCCUAAGGUAGCGAAAUUCCUUGUCGGGUAAGUUCCGACCCGCACGAAAGGUGUAACGAUCUGGGCGCUGUCUCGGAGAGAGGCUCGGCGAAAUAGAAUUGUCUGUGAAGAUGCGGACUACAUACACCCGGACAGAAAGACCCUAUGAAGCUUUACUGCAGGUUGGUAUUGUUCUCGGGCUCUGAAUGCGCAGGAUAGGUGGGAGACAUUGAUGUAGUGCUUUUGGGUGCUACUGAGUCAACGGUGAGAUACCACUCUUUCAGAGCUAGAGAUCUAACGUUUACCCGUUAUCCGGGAAACGGACAGUAUCUGCUGGGCAGUUUGACUGGGGCGGUCGCCUCCUAAAAGGUAACGGAGGCGCACAAAGGUUUCCUCAGGCUGGUUGGAAAUCAGUCGUCGAGUGCAAAAGCAGAAGGAAGCUUGACUGUGAGACCUACAAGUCGAACAGGGACGAAAGUCGGUUUUAGUGAUCCGACGGUUCUGAGUGGAAGGGCCGUCGCUCAACGGAUAAAAGUUACUCUAGGGAUAACAGGCUGAUCUCCCCCAAGAGUUCACAUCGACGGGGAGGUUUGGCACCUCGAUGUCGGCUCAUCGCAACCUGGGGCUGAAGUCGGUCCCAAGGGUUGGGCUGUUCGCCCAUUAAAGCGGUACGCGAGCUGGGUUCAGAACGUCGUGAGACAGUUCGGUCCAUAUCCGGUGUAUGCGCAGGAAUAUUGAGAGGAUUUCUCCCUAGUACGAGAGGACCGGGAGGAACGCACCUCUGGUGUACCAGUUAUCGUGCCAACGGUAAACGCUGGGUAGCCAUGUGCGGAGUGGAUAACCGCUGAAAGCAUCUAAGUGGGAAGCCCACCUCAAGAUGAGUAUUCCCAUGGUUUAAACCAGUAAGAUCACGGGAAGAACACCCGUUGAUAGGCUCUACGUGGAAGUCUGGUAACAGAUGCAGCGGAGGAGUACUAAUAGAUCGAGGGCUUGACCUU
RNAcentral lists this ribosomal RNA (1653 nucleotides) under Prochlorococcus sp. AG-402-M18. RNAcentral describes it as "bacterial LSU rRNA". It matches the Rfam family "Bacterial large subunit ribosomal RNA", at positions 1254 to 2925 of the family's 2925-position model. The record is from RNAcentral. Lineage: Bacteria; Bacillati; Cyanobacteriota; Cyanophyceae; Synechococcales; Prochlorococcaceae.